Molecule: long non-coding RNA, 218 nt
Organism: Neodiprion fabricii
Lineage: Eukaryota; Metazoa; Arthropoda; Insecta; Hymenoptera; Diprionidae
Exons: 3
Source: RefSeq, a predicted model, not a curated record
CAAAUUUAAUAAAUAUAUAUAUACAUGAGAUGGACUUCCGUUUCCGUUUGAAUGUGAGUGACAGGUGUGCGAAAGAGUGCGAGAGAAAAGGCGAGAAUUUAGCAGGAUAGCAAAGGUGAGGAGAAAAGGAAAUAGGGCAGAGAAGGAGCGGGAAAGACAUAGACGGGAGGUCGGGUGAAGGGAAUAGGGAGGCAGGGAUAGAAGGGAAGGGCGGGUGA